RNAcentral lists this ribosomal RNA (373 nucleotides) under uncultured bacterium. RNAcentral's name for it is "bacterial SSU rRNA". It matches the Rfam family "Bacterial small subunit ribosomal RNA", at positions 527 to 896 of the family's 1533-position model. The record is from RNAcentral.
GUAGGGAGCAAGCGUUGUUCGGAUUUACUGGGCGUAAAGGGCGCGUAGGCGGCAGAUUAAGUCAGCUGUGAAAUCUCCGAGCUUAACUCGGAACUGUCAGCUGAUACUGUUUUGCUAGAGUGCGGAAGGGGCAAUCGGAAUUCUUGGUGUAGCGGUGAAAUGCGUAGAUAUCAAGAGGAACACCUGAGGUGAAGACGGGUUGCUGGGCCGACACUGACGCUGAGUGCGCGAAAGCCAGGGGAGCAAACGGGAUUAGAUACCCCGGUAGUCCUGGNCUUAAACGAUGAAUACUUGGUGUCUGGAGUCUCUAUAGCUCCGGGUGCCGUCGCUAACGUUUUUAGUAUUCCGCCUGGGGAGUACGCACGCAAGUGUG